Molecule: ribosomal RNA, 250 nt
Filed under: uncultured bacterium
Lineage: Bacteria
Description: partial 16S ribosomal RNA
Rfam family: Bacterial small subunit ribosomal RNA
Source: RNAcentral
UACGUAGGGUACAAGCAUUAAUCGGAAUUAUUGGGCGUAAAGGGCGCGUAGGCGGAAAUGUAAGUCAGGUGUGAAAUACCAAAGCUCAACUUUGGUGCUGCAUUUGAAACUGCAUUUCUAGAGGACUGACGGAGAAAGUGGAAUUCCACGUGUAGCGGUGAAAUGCGUAGAUACGUGGAGGAACACCGGUGGCGAAAGCGACUUUCUAGUUUUUUCCUGACGCUGAGGCGCGAGAGCAAGGGGAGCAAAC